RNAcentral lists this ribosomal RNA (253 nucleotides) under uncultured bacterium. Its description in RNAcentral is "partial 16S ribosomal RNA". It matches the Rfam family "Bacterial small subunit ribosomal RNA", at positions 524 to 776 of the family's 1533-position model. The record is from RNAcentral.
UACGUAGGGUGCGAGCGUUAAUCGGAAUUACUGGGCGUAAAGCGUGCGCAGGCGGAUUGUUAAGCAAGAUGUGAAAUCCUCGGGCUUAACCUGGGAAUGGCAUUUGAUACUGGCAGACUAGAGUAUGGUAGAGGGGGGUAGAAUUCCUGGUGUAGCGGUGAAAUGCGUAGAUAUCAGGAGGAAUACCAGUGGCGAAGGCGACCCCCUGGGCCAAUACUGACGCUGAGGUACGAAAGCGUGGGUAGCGAACAGG